GGGCCUGUGGUCUAGUGGCUAUGACAUCACCUUGACAUGGUGGAGGUCGUGAGUUCAAAUCUCACCAGGCCCA
RNAcentral lists this transfer RNA (73 nucleotides) under Candidatus Woesearchaeota archaeon. RNAcentral's name for it is "tRNA-Val". It matches the Rfam family "tRNA". Rfam says of the family: Transfer RNA (tRNA) molecules are approximately 80 nucleotides in length. Their secondary structure includes four short double-helical elements and three loops (D, anti-codon, and T loops). The record is from RNAcentral. Lineage: Archaea; Nanobdellati; Candidatus Woesearchaeota.